Molecule: non-coding RNA, 88 nt
Organism: Podarcis lilfordi (Lilford's wall lizard)
Lineage: Eukaryota; Metazoa; Chordata; Lepidosauria; Squamata; Lacertidae
Source: the annotation of a GenBank genome assembly
UGGAUGGCAAUCAACUAGCUUUUACUCAGAGUAGACCCAUUGAAAUUAAUGGAUUUGCUCUGAGUAAAUGUUAGUUGACUACUACCCA